Molecule: small nuclear RNA, 146 nt
Filed under: Neogale vison (American mink)
Lineage: Eukaryota; Metazoa; Chordata; Mammalia; Carnivora; Mustelidae
Description: Neovison vison (American mink) U4 spliceosomal RNA (ENSNVIG00000022611.1)
Rfam family: U4 spliceosomal RNA (bases 1-79)
About the family: U4 small nuclear RNA (U4 snRNA) is a component of the major U2-dependent spliceosome. The structure of U4 snRNA from yeast and human has been reported.
Source: RNAcentral
AGCUUUGCGCAGUGGCAGUAUUGUAGCCAAUGAGGUUUAUCCGAGGUGCAAUUAAUGCUAAUUGAAAAAUGAACAAUAGGGGCACCUGGGUGGCUCAGUGGGUUAAGCUGCUGCCUUCGGCUCAGGUCAUGAUCCCAGAGUCCUGG